AGUGAACGCUGGCGGUAGGCCUAACACAUGCAAGUCGAACGGCAGCACAGUAAGAGCUUGCUCUUACGGGUGGCGAGUGGCGGACGGGUGAGGAAUACAUCGGAAUCUACUUUUUCGUGGGGGAUAACGUAGGGAAACUUACGCUAAUACCGCAUACGACCUACGGGUGAAAGCAGGGGAUCUUCGGACCUUGCGCGAUUGAAUGAGCCGAUGUCGGAUUAGCUAGUUGGCGGGGUAAAGGCCCACCAAGGCGACGAUCCGUAGCUGGUCUGAGAGGAUGAUCAGCCACACUGGAACUGAGACACGGUCCAGACUCCUACGGGAGGCAGCAGUGGGGAAUAUUGGACAAUGGGCGCAAGCCUGAUCUAGCCAUACCGCGUGGGUGAAGAAGGCCUUCGGGUUGUAAAGCCCUUUUGUUGGGAAAGAAAAGCAGCAGGUUAAUACCCCGCUGUUCUGACGGUACCCAAAGAAUAAACACCGGCUAACUUCGU
RNAcentral lists this ribosomal RNA (491 nucleotides) under uncultured bacterium. RNAcentral describes it as "partial 16S ribosomal RNA". It matches the Rfam family "Bacterial small subunit ribosomal RNA", at positions 29 to 506 of the family's 1533-position model. The record is from RNAcentral.